UGCAAAAUCAAAAAUUAAUAUAUUAAAACAUAGGAUUACUAAAGAUUUUUUUUUUUUUCUGAUUUGAGCGAAAAUACUAACCAACCGUAUGCUGCCACGUCACCUGAUACUGAGUAUUAAAGGUAUCAGUCCACUGAUAUCGAUCAGGCCCAAAUUCAUAGUUUGAUUAAUUAAAAUAUGAUUUUUGGGCUACUGAUACCCAAAAUAAAUAACCCAUGUACAUGAUCUUACAUCAUU
Molecule: small RNA, 237 nt
Filed under: Arabidopsis thaliana (thale cress)
Lineage: Eukaryota; Viridiplantae; Streptophyta; Magnoliopsida; Brassicales; Brassicaceae
Description: ATSL156420
Source: RNAcentral